RNAcentral lists this unclassified non-coding RNA (536 nucleotides) under Hevea brasiliensis (rubber tree). The record is from RNAcentral. Lineage: Eukaryota; Viridiplantae; Streptophyta; Magnoliopsida; Malpighiales; Euphorbiaceae.
UUGUUAAAUUUGUUAAAUGGAUAGAAUGAUAUGUUUUUUAAUUGAAUAGGUAUUCUUGUGAUAUGCUUUUUAUUAAACAGUAUUGUAAUUUGUGAUAUGUUUUUAUUAAAUAGGUAUUGAUGCUCUUGCCAUGAUGUGUAAUUGUACAAAUUAUUGAAAAAAUCAAUUUUUUAAUGCUUUAAUUUUUUAUUUGCUUAAAUUGGGACAGCAUUGAUGGUUGUUGUUGCAAUUACAUAUAUUCUUCUAUGUGUCUUGAAUUGGGAUAGUCUUGAUAGUUGUUUAUAUGUCUCAUUGAACUCAACUAUGACAUGAAUUCUUCUAUAUGUUGCCUAAUUGUAUAUUCCAAAACCAUUAAUCUAUCAUUCAAAAUUUUGCCAUUGAAAUUUUAGUGAUGGGUAUUGUUUUGUUAGAUGGUUUUUAAUUUAUAUAGAUGGUUUUAGUGAUGACUAUUCUUCUAUAUGGUUUGUACAUAUAAACUUUUUUUUUAGGGGUUAGAUGGGCAUUGUUUUGUUGUUAAAAGUAUGAAUUUUUAUGUU